Lethenteron reissneri (Far Eastern brook lamprey) is the source of this 789-nucleotide long non-coding RNA. RefSeq lists it as uncharacterized. The record is from RefSeq and is a predicted model, not a curated record. NCBI's taxonomy places the organism in Eukaryota, Metazoa, Chordata, Hyperoartia, Petromyzontiformes, Petromyzontidae.
GCGUUGUAUGUGAUGAAGACGUUAUUCAUAUAUCUGUGCGUUUGUGUGUCCGCGUGUAUCCGUGUGCGUCUAGUAGCAAUGGACGAACCUGUCGUCAUCGCAGAGGCAGGGAUGCACUGCACGCCUGCCGGUAUCCUUCAGCAAUUCGGAAGUAGAAUGACACCGUUUGAACAUAAUGAAGUCACACUCUACGAGCACAUCUAUUAUUUCAGGAUCCGUCGGGCAUCAGACAGUUCUUUGAAUGCUGUCCAUAAUUCCGAAAGUCACCACUACAGUUUGGUCAACGAUGAGCAUCUGGCAUAUAGGUACCAGGUCCUGAGUGUGCUCGGAGCGGGAGCAUAUGGCCAGGUGAUCCGAUGCCUGGAUCACAAACAUAAGCGAGAAGUAGCCGUGAAAAUGCUGCAGCACGAAUCACAGUGAGUUUCUAACGAAAUGUGUUAAUGCGGCCACCGUGUUUCUCAACGUGCAGUACUACGAGCGGGGUGAGACUCGUUCACCACUUUUCUCUCCGCAGCGCCAAGCCGUACCAUUCCAAAAGGGAGGUGCGGAUGCUUAAAGCGUUGCAGUCGAAAGAGCAAAACAACAACUACGUCAUCAAACUCCUCAACACCUUCACCUUCAGGGGCCAUUUCAGUCUGGUCCUUGAGCUUUUGACGUGAGUUGUUGUGGGCGUCGCUCCUCCGCCCUCCGUUGUUGCUGGAGGGCGACUGCCUCCAACUGCCCAGUAGCAGCGUCCUUCACGAGCCUCCUCCCAGCAACAUACAUACACAUAACACAAUGCAUCUGAAU